This 933-nucleotide long non-coding RNA is filed under the name Helianthus annuus (common sunflower). Its description in RNAcentral is "sRNA HanXRQr2_Chr11g0491811". Lineage: Eukaryota; Viridiplantae; Streptophyta; Magnoliopsida; Asterales; Asteraceae. The record is from RNAcentral.
GAACCGGUUCCGGGUUCAAAAAACCCGUCGGUUCCAACCCGGUUCCACAUUUUAUAAAUAAAAUCGGUUCGUACCCGGACCCGGUUCCUACCCGUAGGUUCGUACCCGGUUCCUACCCGGACCAAAACCAGCAUCAGCGUGACGGUAGAGACGUUGGGAUAAAUACAAAAGAGUGAAAUUACAUAGGUUGUAGCUUUUUCCGGUAGCCGGAGUUGACGUCUGCAAGUUUUGUUUGAGGUGAGAUAUGGCGAUGCAGAGCAAAAUAAAGGAGAUGGUUCAUUACAGUGUUUUCAAGACUGAGAUUAGUUUACUAGCUUAGGCUAGGGUAACAGUUGUUUACACAAUGACAACCUUUAGUACUUGUGGCCGAGUUUUAUCUUUUGUUUUUUUUAAUAUUUUCUGUCUUUAGAUUACAUUAUCAUAUAUUCUAUUAAAUAUAUAAUGUAAAUGUACUUACCCAUAUACCAGACGCCAUGGAAGAACACAAGAUAACUAAAACUAAGAAGAAAGCCAUUUGAUGAGUUAAUCAGGUUCGUAAUUUGAUAACACAUAAAAGAUGAAUGAAACGCGGGUAGGAACUGGUUCCUACAGUAUUUUUAAUGGUUAAAACCCGGGAACUGGAACCGGUUACACCAAGAACUGGUUCCAUUGACACUCAUUCAAGAACCGGGUAAGGUUUGGAACCGUUUCCGGUUAUUAAAAAGAACCGGAUAUGCCCAUCUCUAUCGAGAACCAAGAUAAUGAUUUUACUUAAGACUUGCAUAAUUUUAGUUGAAAUUAGUGAAAUCAACAAGCUUACGGCCCCAAGAGGGGAUUGAAAUUCAACCAACUACCGUCUAUUCAAUGCACAUAUCCUCCUAAACAUUUUUCCUUAGGUAACUAUUCUGAUAAAUAAUGUUUUGGGAUCAUAUCCAUCAGAUUAAUUAUUUAUAA